This 460-nucleotide ribosomal RNA is filed under the name uncultured bacterium. RNAcentral's name for it is "partial 16S ribosomal RNA". It matches the Rfam family "Bacterial small subunit ribosomal RNA", at positions 338 to 795 of the family's 1533-position model. The record is from RNAcentral.
CCUACGGGAGGCAGCAGUGAGGAAUAUUGGUCAAUGGACGAGAGUCUGAACCAGCCAAGUAGCGUGAAGGAUGACUGCCCUAUGGGUUGUAAACUUCUUUUAUAUGGGAAUAAAAUGUUCCACGUGUGGGUUUUUGUAUGUACCAUAUGAAUAAGGAUCGGCUAACUCCGUGCCAGCAGCCGCGGUAAUACGGAGGAUACGAGCGUUAUCCGGAUUUAUUGGGUUUAAAGGGAGCGUAGGUGGAUUGUUAAGUCAGUUGUGAAAGUUUGCGGCUCAACCGUAAAAUUGCAGUUGAAACUGGCAGUCUUGAGUACAGUAGAGGUGAGCGGAAUUCGUGGUGUAGCGGUGAAAUGCUUAGAGAUCACGAAGAACUCCGAUUGCGAAGGCAGCUCACUGGACUGCAACUGACACUGAGGCUCGAAAGUGUGGGUAUCAAACAGGAUUAGAUACCCUUGUAGUC